RNAcentral lists this ribosomal RNA (700 nucleotides) under Absidia glauca. RNAcentral describes it as "eukaryotic LSU rRNA". It matches the Rfam family "Eukaryotic large subunit ribosomal RNA", at positions 66 to 664 of the family's 3401-position model. Lineage: Eukaryota; Fungi; Mucoromycota; Mucoromycetes; Mucorales; Cunninghamellaceae. The record is from RNAcentral. RNAcentral also lists the same sequence under 1 other name.
UAACAAUGAUUCCCCCAGUAACGGCGAGUGAACAGGGAAAAGCUCAAAGUUGGAAGCUCCUGGCCCUAGGCUAGGCGCAUUGUAAACUAAAGCUGUAAAGUAGUUCGGUUGGCCUGGUAAAAAAGUUCCCUGGAAUGGGGCGACAUGGAGGGUGAAAUCCCCGUCUUUGGCCAGAGUUCAGCCGUGCGUUUGCUUUGCUGCGAAGAGUCAGGUUGUUUGGGAAUGCAGCCUAAAAUGGGAGGUAGACUUCUCCUAAAGCUAAAUAUUGACGAAAGACCGAUAGCGAACAAGUACCGUGAGGGAAAGAUGAAAAGCACUUUGAAAAGAGGGUCAAAAAGUACGUGAAAUUGCUGAAAGGGAACCGUAUGAAAUCAGCCUGAUGUGUGGGUAAUCAGCCUGGGCUUUGGCCUGGGUGCACUUGCCCAUGUAUUAGCCUGCGACAGUUUGACCUGGGGGAAAAAAGAUGGGGGAAUGUGGCCUCGGCUUCGGUCGAGGUGUUAUAGCCCCUGUCAAAAUACCUUGGGUUGGACUGAGGACUGCAGCGAGCCGUAAGGCAUGGGUCUCGGGCGCUCUGUCUCGGCGAAAAGUGAAUCUCUGCUUCGGGUGGUGCGCUUUUCUUCAGGGCAGACUCGCCUGUUUCUUCUUUCUCUCGCUUAGGUCGUAGGCAUAAUGAUUUUAUAUGACCCGUCUUGAAACACGG